Molecule: unclassified non-coding RNA, 346 nt
Filed under: fungal sp.
Lineage: Eukaryota; Fungi
Description: partial internal transcribed spacer region
Rfam family: Eukaryotic small subunit ribosomal RNA (bases 1-46)
Source: RNAcentral
AAGUCGUAACAAGGUUUCCGUAGGUGAUCCUGCGGAAGGAUCAUUAACACGUAUCCAAACGUUAAAACCCCCCUCCGUGAACCUUCAUCCUGCUCUUGUAACCCGCGUAGUUCGCAAUCUCUGAUAAAUCAUAGCCCGGAAAGUUGUAGUGAUUGUCAGUGUCGGAAAGUGUCACUGAUUGUGCAAGGAUAGCGCUUCUACGAUUCCUGUAGACCGUACACUCGGGCAGGAGCUUUGCCAAAGGGUCCCCAUGCCCCCUAAUAACGCCACAGUUUAAUGUGAAGCUCAAUGUAAUACAUUGGGUAAAAAAACCGAACAACUGUUAACAAUGGAUAUCUUGGUUCUC